UUUCCGUAGGUGAACCUGCGGAAGGAUCAUUAUUAUAUAACCGAGUAGCGAGUUCUCGCGCUGACCCGAAAGGUCAUGCACCCCCGAGUGCCCGCACACACAUCCAUCUCAGCCCUAUGUGCACCACGGCGUGGGUCGCCCUUUGGCUUGGUCCGAGGGGGGCUUACGGCUCCACACAAACUUUGUAUGCAGUGUAGAAUGUACUUUUUGUUUUUGCGAUCCCACAAUAAAUACAACUUUCAACAACGGAUCUCUUGGCUCUC
This 263-nucleotide unclassified non-coding RNA is filed under the name plant metagenome. Its description in RNAcentral is "partial contains small subunit ribosomal RNA, internal transcribed spacer 1, and 5.8S ribosomal RNA". The record is from RNAcentral.